UGGACUCCUUGGAUCAAGCAAUCCUGCUGCCUCAGCCUCCCAAAGUGCUGGAUUACAAGCAUGAGCCACCGUGCCCAGCCUUAAGUUUUUUCAUACAGGAGGAAAGAAUUUGGGAAAAUAAACACAAUCUGGGAAACAUUUUAUAAUACAGAGGGCCACACCAGAUUGAAUAUUACCCCCAGGAAUGAAAUGAAAACAGGAAUGGAUUCUCCAGUAAGAGUUGUUUGAAUUGGUGGAUGCAGAACCCAUGAAUAUGGAGAGUCAAUUGCAUUUCAUUAUGCCCAAAGGUGAAGUCCAGGACCAUGUAGUUCUGACGUCCACUCUCUCGGGAGAUCACCAGUUCACCCAUCUCACCCGGCAGCCAGAAGGGGUUGUCUAGCCAGCACCUGGGCUUUGGCGCUCCUCAAGCAGGUGGAGGAAAUUUCAGACACCUGGCUCCUCAGGUGUCUGCCAUCCAGCUACUCUUCAGGCCUGCCCAGCAGAGCUCUCUUGAUCCAGCUAGAACUGGCCAGAACUGACUCACUCAGGAAUGUGUAGACUUUGGCAUCAUGGGCUGCUUUAAUUUGCACAAUUUCCAAAUACCUUUUUCUUCUUUUUCUGAUGAGUCAUCUCCCUAGACUUGCAUUUUAAAGAGAUAGAUAGUUAUCAGGUUCCAGAGAAGACGUGGUAGAACAUUUAUAUCUCAAAGACACAGAGCUGAGACUUCAGGUUUAGAUACUAUAAUUUGCCUAAACCAAAAAGGAAUGUGUAGGUAAAGUUCUAGUCAAGACAGGAUGGCCAGGAAAAACACCUUAAACCAAGGGAUGGCUUGCUUUGCUGAUUUAAGCCAAUGGCUUCUUUAUCAUAAGACUUCCCAGUGAUUUAGUCCUCCCUCUCUUCCAGUGCACAGAGACAUACCCCUCCUUACAAAUAAAAAUAUUCUUCAUAGAUGUAAACUUAUUUUACAAAAAUGUUUCAAAAUAACCAGAUGAAAAUCAUCCUUAUGCCAGAAAGACUUGUUUUUUUUUUUCAUUACUAGAAAUGAAACAGUAAGUAUUUGUUGUAUUGACAUACUUAGGCUUAGACCUAUGUUUAACAAGAAAGCCUAAUAAUAGCACUGUGGUUAGACUGUAGCCUCUUUUUCCAAACCAUCAUUUUAUUAUUAUGGAAAGAAAGGAUCAAAUACCUUUCAUUCAUCUCAUAUGAUCCUUUAAAAUACAUUCCACUAAUAAGUCCCAUUUGGAACAGCUGAAAAUCUUUUAAUAAGACUUUUUAAAGAUGAGCUCAUGGCUUAGUGUAAAUUUCAUAAGCUUAAUUAGGUCAAAUGGAAGGAACUCAGAUGAGUAGUUGCCCAAUCAGAGCCCAUUAUUUGUAAGUCAUCAGCCUCCUUCAUGACCUUAAAACUCCACUCUGACCUAAUUAUUGCAAACUUAUAUACAACAAAGUGAAAGGAUUAAUUUUCAUUCAUCAACCUCUCAAUCCCAGAUUUUCAAAGAAAAAACCUAUGUAAGGAAUACUUACCAAAACCAGACAGGAAAAUUAGAGCCUGCAUACUUAAGAGUCAAAUUUGUUCCACUACAGCCAGGUCACAUACAAUUACAUCAUUUGGUUCUUCAUACACUCUGGAACUGACCAGGACAGAGUUUAGCAUAGAAAAACUGUAAGAAAUAGGUUCCAAAACAUAGAAAUUGCAAAGUCCAAAAGGCUAUGAAAAAAACUAAUGUAAAUGAGAGACUCCCCUCCCUUUGUUUUAAAGAAAUAGACCCAUCAGAGAAAUGCAAAUCAAAACCACAAUGAGAUACCAUCUCACACCAGUUAGAAUGGUGAUCAUUAAAAAGUCAGGAAACAACAGGUGCUGGAGAGGAUGUGGAGAAAUAGGAACACUUUCACACUGUUGGUGGGGCUGUAAACUAGUUCAACCAUUGUGGAAGUCGGUGUGGCCAUUCCUCAGAGAUCUAGAACUAGAAAUACCAUUUGACCCAGCCAUCCAAGUACUGGGUAUAUACCCAAAGGAUUAUAAAUCAUGUUGCUAUAAAGACACAUGCACACGUAUGUUUAUUGCGGCA
Molecule: long non-coding RNA, 2045 nt
Filed under: Homo sapiens (human)
Lineage: Eukaryota; Metazoa; Chordata; Mammalia; Primates; Hominidae
Description: HSALNT0270697
Source: RNAcentral